RNAcentral lists this ribosomal RNA (407 nucleotides) under uncultured bacterium. Its description in RNAcentral is "partial 16S ribosomal RNA". It matches the Rfam family "Bacterial small subunit ribosomal RNA", at positions 30 to 526 of the family's 1533-position model. The record is from RNAcentral.
AUUGAACGCUGGAGGUAGGCCAAACACAUGCAAGUCGAGCGGAGCGGCGGAAGGGUGAGGAAUGCCUAGGAAUCUGCCUGGUAGUGGGGGAUAACGUCCGGAAACGGGCGCUAAUACCGCAUACUAGCAGAUGAGCAUACGUCGGAUUAGCUAGUUGGUGGGGGAAACGCCUACCAAGGCGACGAUCCGGAACUGGUCUGAGAGGAUGAUCAGUCACACUGGAACUGAGACACGGUCCAGACUCCUACGCGAGGCAGCAGUGGGGCAUAUUGGACAAUGGGCGAAAGCCUGAUCCAGCCAUUCCGCGUGUGUGAAGAAGGUCUUCGGAUUGUAAAGCACUUUAAGUUGGGCGGCGUUACCAACUGAAUAAGCACCGGCUAACUUCGUGCCAGCAGCCGCGGUAAUUC